Aotus nancymaae (Ma's night monkey) is the source of this 72-nucleotide small nucleolar RNA. The record is from Ensembl. Lineage: Eukaryota; Metazoa; Chordata; Mammalia; Primates; Aotidae.
GGUUAAUGAUGUAAUGUUAUGUAUUAGCUGAAUCCAAAGUUGAGGUGAGUUCUAAAAUUACACCAAGACCUU